GUUUCAAUGUAUUUAUUUAUAUUUCUUUUAUUUGAUGUGUCCUUUCCUUUCCACCUUACAAGUAAAAGUUCCUAUGCAAAUGUAUUUUCUUUUCCUGUGUGAAUAUUCAAUAGCUAUGUGCAUUCUUAGACAUUCUUCAGUUGGGUGUAGUUCUUUUGUGUUUGAUUAGUUGGGUGUGUAUGUGUGUGUGAGUAUAUAAGUGUAUGGUCAGUGUGACUCCAGCCCACUCUAUCACAUUAUGAGAGCUCUAUAGACACCAAGACAAAUCUCCUGCUGCCUGCUGCCUGCUGCCUGCUGCCACACAUUUUGCUCAGCAGAGUAUUCAGACUCUGAUGCAGAGCAAUACGUAUUAGCAGAGCCGAGCCGUGUACUGCAGCAGUGCCAUUGUAUAGCUGUUAGCUGGGGCAAUUUUGCUCCACUGUCUGCUGGUGAGCUGUAAAACCAGAUACGGGGAACCUCGCUGCAAAACCAAAGUAUUACUGGGGAUUUCAGCCAGUUUGGGGGUCCUUCAACACCGCAUGUGCAUCCAUUUGAAGUAGAUCGGGACAGUCGCCUACUACUUGCUUGUGCCAAGACCUGACCUCGAGUACUACCACAAGGGCCAGACGAGGACUGGAUUAACCACUUGACAGUUCGGCUGCUCAACUGGAAACCAGAACUGUAUUGGGUUUGCAUUGCUAAAUACCCUGAAUACAUUUAUUGUCAUCGAGUCAAAGAUAGAGUGAAGUCAAGUUAAUUUGUGUCCAAGAACGAGAAAACUACUAUUGUAAUAAGAGUUGUUGUUGUUUUUUUGUUUUUUAUAAAAUACAAAUUAAGGAAACCGUUCAGUGUUGAUUCAUUUUCAAUCAAAGAAAACACAGAAGUGAUCCCACUGGUGUAGCAACUAAAAGUUCAGUUUGUUAAAGUCAACAGAGGUGUAAAUUGAGUAGUUUAACAAAAACCUAGUGUAAAUAAGUCAGUGUAUAGUGCACAUACGUGUACUGUGUUUCAAGUAUACGACUUGAAGAUAAUCUUGUUAAUUCAAGUUCAGUGUAACACCGUUGCCAUUAACGGAAGUGUAAUAAGGUUUUUGUAAACAAAAAGAAACUUAAGUAAUCAAGCUUGGAAACAGGAGUUCAAUCAAAGAUUUUUUUUUAUUAAUUUAAUUUCGUAGUCAUAGUCACAGAAGUAUACGUGUACAUUUUUAUCAAUAUAAUUGUGUAGUCCUUCAUUGAAUGUUUUUAAUAUUAAAGUUUUUUGUAAAUAAUUGUCACUGAAA
This is a long non-coding RNA of Patiria miniata (bat star), 1258 nucleotides long. RefSeq lists it as uncharacterized. Lineage: Eukaryota; Metazoa; Echinodermata; Asteroidea; Valvatida; Asterinidae. The record is from RefSeq and is a predicted model, not a curated record. The transcript is spliced from 2 exons.